AAAGCAAAUAAACAAACCCAGUAGGGGUUCCUAAGCUACUGCUAAGCAUUUACAUAAGGGAACUGAUAGCACAGCGAUCAUGAAGUUCCCCCUCCCCUAGAGCUGGUUUUCAUCACAGUUCCAACUGGAGGUGGGUACACAGCUCAAGUAGUGACACCAAUGGCAGCGAUCAUUCCCAUUCUCCCCCCGGAACAGCAUCACUAAUGCAACUACGAAUCCUGCAAUUAGGAGAACCAGAGAAACCAGCCAUAAAACGUAUUGGUAGGACUUGUACUUUGAUUUGACACUAACAUUGGCAGGAAGAUUUUGACGCUCUAACCACCCAUAUCGAGGACGAGGUAGCAAAACAAAGCCGAGGAGGAACCCAGCAAGAAAUCCACCGAUAUGAGCAAAAUUAUCAACAUGUGGCAGAAUUCCAAUAGCAAGGUUGAUGGCUAUGAUGACCAGAAGUGUAAAGAGUGCUGCAGCCUUGUUAGUGUAAAUAGUCCAGUUUGUAAUUAGUUCAGA
RNAcentral lists this unclassified non-coding RNA (507 nucleotides) under Hevea brasiliensis (rubber tree). Lineage: Eukaryota; Viridiplantae; Streptophyta; Magnoliopsida; Malpighiales; Euphorbiaceae. The record is from RNAcentral.